This 297-nucleotide long non-coding RNA is filed under the name Helianthus annuus (common sunflower). RNAcentral describes it as "hypothetical non coding rna". Lineage: Eukaryota; Viridiplantae; Streptophyta; Magnoliopsida; Asterales; Asteraceae. The record is from RNAcentral.
GUUCACAUCAAAAACCACCAAUUGAAGGAUCAAAUCGAGUCCAAAACGAAAACCGAGCAUAUAUUCGUGAUCCCCAUUGAAAGGAGAUCAUAAGAAAUUAUGCCCGCAAGUUUGUCGCCUAACGAGCUAGGUGGAGGCUUGAAAAAGAAGCGGUCAAACGAAUCAAGCACGAGAAGAAAACGUAUUCGGAUGCGAGGUAAGUAGAGCUUACGCCCCUUUACAUUAUUUGCAAAGUUACUUAAUUUCAAGUAAUGAUAUGAAUGCUACUAAGUGGUUGGUAUAUGAUAUUCCGACGCG